AUUUUUGCAUUUUUUGUAGAGAUGGGGUUUUGCUAUGUUGCCCAGGCUGGUCUCAAACUCCUGGGCUCAAGCAAUCUGCCCACCUUGGCCUCUCAAAGUGCUAGGAUUACAGGCAUGAGCCACUGGGCCUGGCCCUUACUAUUUUCCUAUUUUCUGGGCACUUGCCGCCCCGAGAUUCAUAUGCAUUUGUCGCUUCUCCCUGAUUGUCACACCCACUGGAAUGUUGGAAUAGACUUUACAGCCUCCAACGGGAAUCCCCUCGACCCUUCCUCUUUGCACUAUAUCAACCCUAUGGGCACCAACGAAUAUCUGUCGGCCAUCUGGGCUGUUGGGCAGAUCAUUCAGGACUAUGACAGUGAUAAGAUGUUUCCAGCUCUAGGAUUCGGGGCCCAGUUACCCCCAGACUGGAAGCAGUACUUCAUUCUCCUCAUCAUCACGGAUGGGGUCAUCAGUGACAUGGAGGAGACGCGGCAUGCCGUGGUGCAGGCUUCCAAGCUGCCCAUGUCCAUCAUCAUCGUGGGCGUGGGCAAUGCGGACUUCGCUGCCAUGGAGUUCCUGGAUGGGGACAGCCGCAUGCUGCGCUCCCACACGGGGGAGGAGGCAGCCCGCGAUAUUGUGCAGUUUGUUCCCUUUCGAGAGUUCCGCAACGUGAGUGUGGGCCUGGGCUGGGAGGGGGUGGUUACAGGAUCCCAGCCACCAUAGCUCAUAAUCAAGCUUGAGAGUCUUGGGGUUGUCUGGCCCAAUCCUAGACUUCUCCACUCCAUUGACUAUGCUCUUCUGAGGGCCUGCUGUGUGCCAGGCACCGUGCCAGGCCUUGCCCCGGUGGUGGCCGUUGUGAUAGUGUGAGCACUUGCUUCCACAAACUGAUGGAACAUGGAGCCGUGGGCAUCUAGCCUGAGGCUCUGGGGCAGGGCUUCCUGGAAGACCUGCCCUCUAGUGGGGUCUGAUGAGAGGCUGGGGCUAUCCAUGUGGUGUAAAGUGCAGGAGGAGAGAGGGGUUUUCCUGAUCAUCACACCCCAGCAAGCCCCCUCAUUUUGCAGACAGAAAACAAGGCCUCCCAGUCAUCUUAGGUUGACCUCCUCUCCCUAAAACCCUCUGUCUGGGAGAAUGGUGUCCCCAGCCUUGUUCCUGGAAGUGGCUCUGGCUUUAUUUGCAGGUGAUCCCAGGUCUGCCCACAAGAAGGCCGGGGUUGUCUUCCUGAUCACUGCCCUAGCAGCAGGGUACAUGAGGAGUCCCAUAGGGGAGCAGUCUCUCCACUGUACUGCUGUACUGUAAUGCCACCCCCGUACUGCUGGCUGGGGGCUUAACCCAGCCUCACCAAGAACUGCCCACGCUGGUUUGCACCCAGUGGCCCUCACCUCUCUGCCCAGCAUCCUGUGGGGUGGCCUGCUCCUUCCUCUGGAGCAUUCGCUUCCUAAGGACAAACGCUGGGCAUGGGUCACCCCUUCAUGCACAGGUCGGUGACCAAGUACCUCCAUGUGCCUGGCCUGUGGCUGGCCAUUCACUAGUGAACCAGACUGUCAGGCCCAUUCAUUCCCACCAAGAAGGUGCUCAGGAGAUGUUUGCCAGACACAUAGGUACUUCCUGCAGACGGAGUCAUCCUAACCCGUUACUCCCAAGCAUCUCAAGUGCUCCAGGUAACACUUACACCUAACCUAAAGGAAGGCACUGCAGUCAGGGGGAAUUUCAGGCCUGGGCUGAGAUGAGGGACGCCACUUGCAGACAGCCCUGGCCCGCAGCCCUAAUUUUGUCCUCAAUGGACACCUGCUGUAGCAGCCCUCUGGGCAUAGUGCCGCUCACAACUUCCGGUCAUUAAUCCUUAUUCUCUCUUUCCCACCCCACCCUCCUCCACCCUGCAGGCAGCAAAAGAGACCUUGGCCAAAGCUGUGCUGGCGGAGCUGCCCCAACAAGUUGUGCAGUAUUUCAAGCAUAAAAACCUGCCCCCCACCAACUCGGAGCCCGCCUGAGCUCCAAUGCCCAGCAGCAGCAUGUCAGCUGAGCCUCCUGCCCUCCCCCAGGAGCAUGCACGCUCACCCUGCUUCCUUGUGGGUGGCCUUUUUUUACCGAUCCACAUUUUUAUUUUUUACAACCGGACCUCCACCCCCAACUUCCUCCAGCCCAGCUGGGCUUCCUUUGUUGGAGUCAACUGUUGAUGCUUCCAGGCCAAACUGGCUUCCUCUCCUCCUCUCCCCACCUUUGCCAUUCUUAAGUAUUGAAUGUACUUUGUAUAAUUUUAGUGGAAUUGUUAUUGAGAAUAAAAUUUUUACAAUCAU
RNAcentral lists this small RNA (2273 nucleotides) under Pongo abelii (Sumatran orangutan). Its description in RNAcentral is "processed transcript". Lineage: Eukaryota; Metazoa; Chordata; Mammalia; Primates; Hominidae. The record is from RNAcentral.